Molecule: unclassified non-coding RNA, 348 nt
Filed under: soil metagenome
Description: partial contains 5.8S ribosomal RNA, internal transcribed spacer 2, and large subunit ribosomal RNA
Rfam family: 5.8S ribosomal RNA (bases 1-120)
Source: RNAcentral
GAUGAAGAACGUAGCGAAAUGCGAUAAGUAGUGUGAAUUGCAGAAUUCCGUGAAUCAUCGAGUCUUUGAACGCACAUUGCGCCCCCUGGUAUUCCGGGGGGCAUGCCUGUCCGAGCGUCAUUGCUGCCCUCAAGCACGGCUUGUGUGUUGGGCCCCGUCCUCCGAUCCCGGGGGACGGGCCCGAAAGGCAGCGGCGGCACCGCGUCCGGUCCUCGAGCGUAUGGGGCUUUGUCACCCGCUCUGUAGGCCCGGCCGGCGCUUGCCGAUCAACCCAAAUUUUUUUAUCCAGGUUGACCUCGGAUCAGGUAGGGAUACCCGCUGAACUUAAGCAUAUCAAUAAGCGGAGGA